GACAGAGGUGGCGAGCGUUGUUCGGAAUUACUGGGCUUAAAGGGCGAGUAGGCGGUAGAGCAAGUCUGAGGUGGAAUCCUAUGGCUUAACCAUAGAACUGCCUUGGAUACUGUUUCACUUGAGUCAGUGAGGGGAGGGCGGAAUUCCCGGUGUAGCGGUGAAAUGCGUAGAUAUCGGGAGGAAGGCCAGUGGCGAAGGCGGCCCUCUGGUGCUGAACUGACGCUGAGGCGCGAAAGCGUGGGGAGCAAACAGG
This 253-nucleotide ribosomal RNA is filed under the name uncultured bacterium. RNAcentral's name for it is "partial 16S ribosomal RNA". It matches the Rfam family "Bacterial small subunit ribosomal RNA", at positions 524 to 776 of the family's 1533-position model. The record is from RNAcentral.